AUGAAUAAAUGAGUAAUUUAAUUAAGUAUACUUUUAUUCCUAUACUUCUAGCAAUUUUAUUGUUUAGAAUGUUAACAUGAUUUUUCCAAGUGAGAUUUUCAUUAAUGUUAACACCCAAGAAAUUGAACGGAGUUUCUCUGGUUUGUCUUUAAUAUAAAUAAUUAUAACUUUAAAAAACCGACGAGACAAAAAGAAGUCACUCUGAACCGGAUAAACGCAUUGGAAAAUAGAAAUUGUUGACAUUUUCAAUUGUGCUGAAAAAAAUAUAUGGCAACAGUGUGGAAUAAAGUCCACACUGUUGACUUAUUAUAAAAAAAGUCUACCGUUGGCUUAUUUUAAAAAAGACAGCGCUAGGUAAGAUUUGCUAUUUGCAUGGUAAUUGCUUACCUGACAAGAAAGUUAUAUAGGAUGAAUGUGAUGAAAACUGAUAACCAGUAUGGAUUAUGUGUUCAACAAGAGGAACACAAUUGCGGUCCACUUAAUUAUGUUAUAAAAUGUGGCAUAAUUAUAUGUUUAUUUUGUGUUUGCAACCGGUUUACAA
Hydra vulgaris (swiftwater hydra) is the source of this 541-nucleotide non-coding RNA. Lineage: Eukaryota; Metazoa; Cnidaria; Hydrozoa; Anthoathecata; Hydridae. The record is from RefSeq and is a predicted model, not a curated record.